GUAUCAUGUUUGAAGAGUUCAAGAAAUCAAUGUGGUUGAAUUUGAAAUGUCUGAUCUUGGUAUGAUGUAUUACUUUCUUGGUAUAGAAGUAGUGUAUACCGUUAGUGAAAUCUUUAUUAGUCAAAAGAUGUGUGUGAAAUUUAGACAUGUUUCACACGAAAGAUCCUUGAAGCUAAACAAAGAACUCGAAGGAAAGAAGGUAGUUCAAAUUC
Molecule: long non-coding RNA, 212 nt
Filed under: Olea europaea (common olive)
Lineage: Eukaryota; Viridiplantae; Streptophyta; Magnoliopsida; Lamiales; Oleaceae
Description: long non-coding RNA (OEUR_LNC007609)
Source: RNAcentral